GAUGAACGCUGGCGGCGUGCCUAAUACAUGCAAGUCGAGCGAACAGAGGAGGAGCUUGCUCCUCUGACGUUAGCGGCGGACGGGUGAGUAACACGUGGAUAACCUACCUAUAAGACUGGGAUAACUUCGGGAAACCGGAGCUAAUACCGGAUAAUAUAUUGAACCGCAUGGUUCAAUAGUGAAAGACGGUUUUGCUGUCACUUAUAGAUGGAUCCGCGCCGCAUUAGCUAGUUGGUAAGGUAACGGCUUACCAAGGCAACGAUGCGUAGCCGACCUGAGAGGGUGAUAGGCCCCACUGGAAAUGAGAAACGGUCCAGACUCCUACGGGAGGGAGCAGUAGGGAAUCUUCCGCAAUGGGCGAAAGCCUGCCGGAGCAACGCCGCGUGAGUGAUGAAGGUCUUCGGAUCGUAAAACUCUGUUAUUAGGGAAGAACAAAUGUGUAAGUAACUAUGCACGUCUUGACGGUACCUACUCAGAAAGCCACGGCUAACUACGUG
RNAcentral lists this ribosomal RNA (497 nucleotides) under uncultured bacterium. RNAcentral describes it as "partial 16S ribosomal RNA". It matches the Rfam family "Bacterial small subunit ribosomal RNA", at positions 28 to 507 of the family's 1533-position model. The record is from RNAcentral.